RNAcentral lists this ribosomal RNA (253 nucleotides) under uncultured bacterium. Its description in RNAcentral is "partial 16S ribosomal RNA". It matches the Rfam family "Bacterial small subunit ribosomal RNA", at positions 524 to 776 of the family's 1533-position model. The record is from RNAcentral.
UACGGAGGGUGCAAACGUUGCUCGGAAUCAUUGGGCGUAAAGCGCACGUAGGCGGCUUGUUAAGUCGGAUGUGAAAGCCCUCGGCUCAACCGAGGAAGUGCAUACGAAACUGGCGAGCUUGAAUAUGGAAGAGGGUCGCGGAAUUCCCGGUGUAGAGGUGAAAUUCGUAGAUAUCGGGAGGAACACCAGUGGCGAAGGCGGCUCACUGGCCCGAUACUGACGCUGAGGCACGAAAGCGUGGGGAGCAAACAGG